RNAcentral lists this long non-coding RNA (1015 nucleotides) under Capsicum annuum. Its description in RNAcentral is "long non-coding RNA (CANN_LNC012064)". Lineage: Eukaryota; Viridiplantae; Streptophyta; Magnoliopsida; Solanales; Solanaceae. The record is from RNAcentral.
UUUAUAAGUCGUCCCCAUUUUCGUAGUCUAACUGAGCCCCUCAUAGGUUUAAAAUCUACCCACCUAAUUCUAUCGAUUUCAAACGGUAAGUCAAUUUAUUAUAAUGAAUGGUCGGUAGCAGGGCUUUCCAACUUAUCGUUAAUUUUUGCUUAUAUGUUAAACUUUAAAUUCUUUUGAUCAAACCUAAACUCAUUUUUCUUUUUUUUUUUUUUUAAUUUUCAAUGAGUCUUGAAAUAAUUCACACCUCGCCUCGUUAUCUCCUAACUCGUUGUUUUAUGAAUUCACUCUCUUACAAAUGAUUUUCCCUCUUUCUUUUAUCAUUUAUGGCAUGUCUUGAGUAAAUUCGUAAUUCAUAUCUCUCAAUCUCAUUCUAAUUAAUGAAAGGGUCUUAUAUUUUUAACCAGAAAUGGGUUAGUUUGAAAUUUAUGAAUUAACACAAAAUCCAACUGGUUAGCAACACAAACAGAGAAAGAUCGAAUCGCAUUCGAUUUUUUGGACAUAAACAUGGAAUAUAAACAAUAGUAAUCGAACUGAUUAAGAUAUGAUUAAUAUCCACUAUAUGGUUGUAAGUUUCAUGUUUUUUUUUAAGAAACAAAACCGUUUGACUCACAUCUUUAUCAUCAAUUCAUGCAACAUGAACUUCAAAAAAAAAAAUGAAAAAUCGUAUAUUCCUAAACCAAGCAAACAUGAAUUUAUUCUUUAAUCAAAUUAGUUUUAACGCAUGAAAACAUUUAACAUUAGAAAGAAAAUAAAAUAAAUAAUCAUUCUAAAAAUGCAUUCUAUUUCUACAUCAUGAACUUAAAUCUGGACAUGGCAAAAACUAAAACAUAUAUAUAGAAAAAAAAAUAAUAAAUAAACAUGUAGUUGUAUAAGUGCGAACAAACAUGAGAUUGCCGACUUCAAUUUCCAGGGACAGGUUAAUAAUUCACACAUAAAGAUAGUUCUAUAUUAUCUUUAGGAUCUAAUACUAGGAAAAAGUAUUGUCUUCUCCACUAAAAGUAAUUAACAACAGUUC